Molecule: transfer RNA, 76 nt
Filed under: Cuscuta japonica (Japanese dodder)
Lineage: Eukaryota; Viridiplantae; Streptophyta; Magnoliopsida; Solanales; Convolvulaceae
Description: partial tRNA-Leu
Source: RNAcentral
GACUUCUAUAUGUCAAGACGGGCAAGAAUGAAAUUUUUAGUAAGAGGAAAAUCCGUCGACUUUAAAAAUCGUGAGG